Molecule: ribosomal RNA, 490 nt
Filed under: uncultured bacterium
Lineage: Bacteria
Description: partial 16S ribosomal RNA
Rfam family: Bacterial small subunit ribosomal RNA
Source: RNAcentral
AUUGAACGCUGGCGGCAGGCCUAACACAUGCAAGUCGAACGGUAACAGGAAACAGCUUGCUGUUUCGCUGACGAGUGGCGGACGGGUGAGUAAUGUCUGGGAAACUGCCUGAUGGAGGGGGAUAACUACUGGAAACGGUAGCUAAUACCGCAUAACGUCGCCAGACCAAAGAGGGGGACCUUCGGGCCUCUUGCCAUCGGAUGUGCCCAGAUGGGAUUAGCUAGCAUGUGGGGUAACGGCUCACCUAGGCGACGAUCCCUAGCUGGUCUGAGAGGAUGACGAGCCACACUGGAACUGAGACACGGUCCAGACUCCUACGGGAGGCAGCAGUGGGGAAUAUUGCACAAUGGGCGCAAGCCUGAUGCAGCCAUGCCGCGUGUAUGAAGAAGGCCUUCGGGUUGUAAAGUACUUUCAGCGGGGAGGAAGGGAGUAAAGUUAAUACCUUUGCUCAUUGACGUUACCCGCAGAAGAAGCACCGGCUAACUCCGUG